GGCUUGCCAAACUAGAUUUUUUUUUAAAAUUCAAAUACUUGGUGCACAAAAUUACUCUUUUUUUCUCAAUGAAAUAAGAAGCAAAAGCCAUAGCAAGCAAAACCUCUAAAACCAAAAAAACAACUACAAAACAGUCCACACAACCAUCACACAGAUCCCUUAUUCAAACCGACAUAAACAGUCGUCUCAUCAAGAAACAACCAGUCGGUUUCUUCCUUGCCAACACCCCCGAUAAAGUAACAAACAGAACUAAACGCUAACACAUACUCGAAUUGUAUCUUGAAAAGGAACCAACAAUGUCCUCCCAAAAGACCGACACGCUCAGUACCUGUAGUGAGCAGGCUUGUAUGGACCCUCAACUGGUACGCUGAUGUAGUCAGCCUGGUCCUUGGUCAACUUGGUCAACUUAGCUCCAAGCUUUCCAAGAUGAAGAGCGGCAACCUUCUCGUCAAGAUGCUUUGGCAACACGUACACCUCCUUCUUGUACUUCCCGGUGCUCUUCUCGUUCCACAGUUCGAGUUGAGCGAUCACUUGGUUGGUGAAUGAGCACGACAUCACGAAACUGGGGUGACCAGUGGCACAGCCCAAGUUCAUGAGACGACCCUCAGCCAAAACAAUGAUGCCGGUCUUGGUUUCGGGGAAGACCCACCUGUCGGUUUGGGGUUUGAUGGUGAUUCUUUGAACACCGGGGUAGGUUUCAAGUCCAAGCAUGUCGAUUUCGUUGUCGAAGUGACCGAUGUUGCAGACGAUGGCGUUGUUCUUCAUCUUCUUCAUGUCAGAAACCAUGAUGAUGGAGAGAGUGACGGCAUCCGUACAAGUUGUCAAACUGUAA
Molecule: long non-coding RNA, 832 nt
Filed under: Helianthus annuus (common sunflower)
Lineage: Eukaryota; Viridiplantae; Streptophyta; Magnoliopsida; Asterales; Asteraceae
Description: hypothetical non coding rna
Source: RNAcentral